AGAGUUUGAUUCUGGCUCAGGAUGAACGCUAGCUACAGGCUUAACACAUGCAAGUCGAGGGGCAGCAUUGGAGUAGCAAUACUUCAGAUGGCGACCGGCGCACGGGUGAGUAACACGUAUCCAACCUGCCGCUUACUCGGGGAUAGCCUUUCGAAAGAAAGAUUAAUACCCGAUGGUAUAAAGAGUUCGCAUGUUCUCUUUAUUAAAGAAUUUCGGUAAGCGAUGGGGAUGCGUUCCAUUAGAUAGUUGGCGGGGUAACGGCCCACCAAGUCUACGAUGGAUAGGGGUUCUGAGAGGAAGGUCCCCCACAUUGGAACUGAGACACGGUCCAAACUCCUACGGGAGGCAGCAGUGAGGAAUAUUGGUCAAUGGACGAGAGUCUGAACCAGCCAAAGUAGCGUGAAGGAUGACUGCCCUAUGGGUUGUAAACUUCUUUUAUAAGGGAAUAAAGUGAGGGACGUGUCCCUUUUUGUAUGUACCUUAUGAAUAAGGAUCGGCUAACUCCGUGCCAGCCGCCGC
RNAcentral lists this ribosomal RNA (519 nucleotides) under uncultured bacterium. RNAcentral describes it as "bacterial SSU rRNA". It matches the Rfam family "Bacterial small subunit ribosomal RNA", at positions 8 to 518 of the family's 1533-position model. The record is from RNAcentral.